Molecule: ribosomal RNA, 440 nt
Filed under: uncultured bacterium
Lineage: Bacteria
Description: partial 16S ribosomal RNA
Rfam family: Bacterial small subunit ribosomal RNA
Source: RNAcentral
CCUACGGGAGGCAGCAGUGAGGAAUAUUGGUCAAUGGGGGAAACCCUGAACCAGCAACGCCGCGUGAGGGAAGACGGUUUUCGGAUUGUAAACCUCUGUCCUCUGUGACGAUAAUGACGGUAGCAGAGGAGGAAGCUCCGGCUAACUACGUGCCAGCAGCCGCGGUAAUACGUAGGGAGCAAGCGUUGUCCGGAUUUACUGGGUGUAAAGGGUGCGUAGGCGGCUUGGCAAGUCAGGAGUGAAAUGCAUGGGCUUAACCCAUGAACUGCUUUGGAAACUGCAGCGCUUGAGUGGAGGAGAGGUAGGCGGAAUUCCCGGUGUAGCGGUGAAAUGCGUAGAGAUCGGGAAGAACACCAGUGGCGAAGGCGGCCUGCUGGGCUCUAACUGACGCUGAGGCACGAAAGCGUGGGUAGCAAACAGGAUUAGAUACCCGGGUAGUC